GCCCAUACCUCAGAGUUUCCCGGAGGCAGGCAGUGUGCAGUCUCCGGCUCCGUUCCCCCGUCCGCCCCGCGCACAGCCCGAGUCCUGCAGACCCAAGGUGCCAGGGUUGGAAGACUGAGUUCCCGGAUUCUGUAGCACAGUUCCCGGCGGCUGCUUACAGAGAUGCCUGGAAGGAGGGUUCGUAAGAGCGCUCAGCAGAGCACGACGCGGGCUCCGGCAGAUCCUGAAGUUGAGUGUGCCAUUCAGUUCAGGAGAAUUGGAGACAAACUGAAUUUCCGGCAGAAACUUCUGAAUUUGAUAUCCAAACUCUUCCGCUCAGGAACCUGACUUUAGAAGCUUUCGAAUGAAGAAUGAAGAGGCUCCUUUCAAACGGAAGAUUCCCCAGUAAGUGCAAACUUCAUCAAUUAGAGGAGAGACUGCCUUGUAAUGGAGACAAACAACGUGAAGGAGCUCUCACUUGCUUUCAGAUGUCCUUGGAAACGAAGAUGAAUACAUCAAAAAUGAAUUGUUGUUGGAGGUUUUCCAGAAGUCAUCGUUUGGGAUGUGAGAACAUUAAAAAAAACACCGUUUAUUUUAAAACAAGAAUGGAAGAACUUUGAAAAUAGGAAAUUAAUUAUUUAUACAUUUUGGUUUUGCUUAGAGACUUGUUCUAGUAUUUUUGCUAAAGGUUGCUGCCCAGUGUAUGAGGAGUUGACAAAUGAUUAGACUAUGGGCAGGGGCCAAGAAACAGAACAUGUUCAAUCUUUGUUUCUACUUUUGGAUGACAACUCCAGAACGAUGUAUAAUCUUUGGUUUAUAUAUAUUAUCUUGUUAAAAGUAAAAUUUUUUUCUGAGAACACUGAAUGUCAUAGUGAAUGUUGAUUUCAUAGGUCACUACAAAAUAUAAACUAAUUUGAUAGUUUCUUUUUACUCAAAAUGUAUGGUUUCUGUUCAGAUGGCCUUUUAUUAAAUGUGUUCCUAUGGGCCUUAACUGGGAAAUUAUAUGAUUUGAAAAAAUUUGAAGUGUUACUUGGUGCCAGUGGAAUUCUUGCAGGUUGAAUAUUAAAAGAUAAAGAAACAUGGGGAUUUUUGCGUAACCGGGAAUAACGAAAAAUAAGUGAUGGAUUUUUGUUUUUACUGCUGUAAUUAGAACUUAGUAAAACAAAUAUUCUAACGUAACUGUUGGUAAGAAAAUAAAUGUGUUUCUAAAGAAGUUUCUAAAAUCUGUAAAAUGUCCCUUCUCAUACUGGUCAGUGUGCAUUGUAUAACAGUGAUCUUUUAAGAGAAAUUAAGCAUGUUUUCAUUCUUGGGAUACAUAUAUAUUGUUUUAAAGGAACAGAUUGCUCAUCCAGAAUGAAAAUCCCAUUUAUAUACAUAUACAUAUAUUCAUCUGAAGAUAUAUAUAUAAAUAUAUAUAUAUGGCAUUAGAGUAAUAUGUAGUUUUUGAGAAAGUUUUCAUGAAUUCUAUUGUUUUUUUGGCCAGGCUAUCAACAAAGUCCCCAGAUAUAUAAAAAAAGAAAUAAUACUGUCAUGAUUGAUUUUCAGCAAGAAUAAUCUUAUUUAUUUUACCUAUUUAUAAUUAAAAUAUUUUUUGUUUAGUUUGAAACUAUAUAUUAAAGUUGCAUUUGGGGGUUUUGUGACAAGGGUUUCAUAACUACUUGAACUCUUACAGUAAGAAUGUUUUAAUAUAGGGUGUAGUCACUUUAGAUGAAAAAUUACCUCAGCAUCUGUUUUUCUUCAGUAUUACUUAAGCUGUUAGUUUAUUUAGUUGCAAAGAUUUUUUGGGGGGGGGUCUGCCUAGUGGCAGGUAUUUUGCCAUGGGGAUAUUUAUGGUCUGUAACUGUAUUUAUACACAUAUAUAUACAUAUAAAAUUUGAUACUGUAAGCUAUUAAAAUUACCACCAUUC
Long non-coding RNA from Phocoena sinus (vaquita), 1886 nucleotides. The record is from Ensembl. Lineage: Eukaryota; Metazoa; Chordata; Mammalia; Artiodactyla; Phocoenidae.